ACUUAAUACAUGCAAGUCAACGACUUUUAGAGUAGCAAUAUUCUAAAGGAAGUGGCGCACGGGUGAGUAACACGUAGGUAAUCUGCCUUCAGGACUGACACAACUCGUCGAAAGACGGGCUAAUAUCAGAUAAUGCGGCGGCUCCGCAUGGAGACAGUUGUUAAAGUACAAGCGCCUGAAGAUGAGCCUGCGGUCCAUUAGCUAGUUGGUAGAGUAACAGCCUACCAAGGCAACGAUGGAUAGCUGGUCUGAGAGGAUGAUCAGCCACACUGGAACUGAGACACGGUCCAGACUCCUACGGGAGGCAGCAGUAAGGAAUAUUGCUCAAUGGCCGAAAGGCUGAAGCAGCAACGCCGCGUGAAGGAUGAAUGGCCUUUGGCCUGUAAACUUCUGUAAAAGGGAAAACAAUCAGGCAUGUCCUGAUUUGAUUGUACCUUUGAAGUAAGCCCCGGCUAACUACGUG
Molecule: ribosomal RNA, 463 nt
Filed under: uncultured bacterium
Lineage: Bacteria
Description: bacterial SSU rRNA
Rfam family: Bacterial small subunit ribosomal RNA
Source: RNAcentral